AUACGGAGGGUCCAAGCGUUAUCCGGAAUCAUUGGGUUUAAAGGGUUCGUAGGCGGGUCAAUAAGUCAGAGUUGAAAUCUUGCAGCUUAACUGUAAAAUUGCCUUUGAAACUGUUGACCUUGAAUUACUGUGAAGUGGUUAGAAUAUGUAGUGUAGCGGUGAAAUGCUUAGAGAUUACAUAGAAUACCGAUUGCGAAGGCAGAUCACUAACAGUAUAUUGACGCUGAUGAACGAAAGCGUGGGUAGCGAACGGGAUUAGAAACCCUAGUAGUCC
RNAcentral lists this ribosomal RNA (274 nucleotides) under uncultured bacterium. Its description in RNAcentral is "partial 16S ribosomal RNA". It matches the Rfam family "Bacterial small subunit ribosomal RNA", at positions 523 to 796 of the family's 1533-position model. The record is from RNAcentral.